UAGAUGAUGUGGUUUAAUUCGAUGCAACGACGAAAACCUUUACCCACCUUUGACAUGGCAGGAAGUUACCAGAGAUGGUUUCGUGCUCGAAAGAGAACCUGCACACAGGUGCUGCAUGGCUGUCGUCAGCUCGUGUCGUGAGAUGUUGGGUUAAGUCCCGCAACGAGCGCAACCCUUGCCAUCAGUUGCUACGAAAGGGCACUCUGAUGGGACUGCCGGUGACAAACCGGAGGAAGGUGGGGAUGACGUCAAGUCCUCAUGGCCCUUAUAGGUGGGGCUACACACGUCAUACAAUGGCAGGUACAGAGGGCUGCAAAGCCGCGAGGUAGAGCGAAUCCCAGAAAACCUGUCUCAGUCCGGAUUGAAGUCUGCAACUCGACUUCAUGAAGGCGGAAUCGCUAGUAACCGCGAAUCAGCAGGUCGCGGUGAAUACGUUCCCGGGCCUU
Molecule: ribosomal RNA, 446 nt
Filed under: uncultured Diaphorobacter sp.
Lineage: Bacteria; Pseudomonadati; Pseudomonadota; Betaproteobacteria; Burkholderiales; Comamonadaceae
Description: bacterial SSU rRNA
Rfam family: Bacterial small subunit ribosomal RNA
Source: RNAcentral